GCAACCCCUCCCCUCGUUCCAUUCCAAUCCUCGCUCGAUUCCUUCUUCCCCUCCAGCGCCUCCUCCUCUGUUCUUCUAUCCCUAACCCUAACCCUAAGGCGACGGCGCCGUUGCCCGCGGCUCUCCCUUCACCGACGGCACCAUCUAGUCCGAGUCCGAGCUGGAGGAGCACGUGUACGUAGGGGAGGCAGCAAGGCUAGCACGCCGUCGGUUCGUCCUUCGCUGGUUCCUCACCGAGCGCCACGAAGAGGAAAAGAUAAUGGUGAAGUAGAAGGGAAAGGGUGAUGGUAAGGAUAAUGCGAAGGCGAAGACAAAGAGAAGAGCGUGAAUUACUUAAUUAGGCAAGAUUCGGAGCUGCCUCCACCGGUUCCGAGGAAGAAGAAGAAGCCUAAGGUGCAGAUUAGGAAGGCAAAAGACUUUCCCAAUGCCCCAACUGGAGAGUUGAUUUGUAGGUUAAAAAACACCCUCCACCUCCUCCGCGUCUCCCCGACCGCACCGGUGCCGGUGUGCGUGCCGCGAAAGCCGCUGCCUCCUUCUCCGCAACCUGCUCCAAGCUGCCUCAUGCAUCUACUAUUGUGGUAGAUGAUGAGGAGAAGGAGGACGACGAGGACGAGGACGUGGACAUGGAUGAGGACAAGGACAAGGACGAUGAGGAAUAUGAGGAGCAAAAUCUGUUUAUAGUCCCGCCACAAGCGAGUGCUGAUAUGUUUAGGCAUUUGUCUAACUUCCACACUUCUAGUCGAGGGAUGAGAAUGAAGAGGAUGAUGUUGAGAACAUCAAGUUACCCAUUGUGGUGGAGGAGAUCAACGAUUGGUAACUAUUCUUCCUACAUGUUUCACUUGUCAUGCAAUACCAAAUAUUUUUUAUGUGAAUGUUGCUUAUCUUACUUGUAGACAUUCAUCAUGUGGAUUUUAUCUUGCUAUUUUGGAGAUGAAUGUCAAAGUGAUCUUUCUCAUGUGAAGGCUACUUUUGCAUUUCUGUUAUGUUGGAACCUUUCAAAUUUACCCAUUUGUGUUAUGUUCAACUUGUCAAUUGACAUGGACUUGGAAUUGCCAUUGCAAGUUUGUAAUCGUGUCGUUCAAUGAUGAUAAGACCUUGUGUUUGUGGA
Long non-coding RNA from Triticum aestivum (bread wheat), 1108 nucleotides. RefSeq lists it as uncharacterized. The record is from RefSeq and is a predicted model, not a curated record. The transcript has 3 exons. Lineage: Eukaryota; Viridiplantae; Streptophyta; Magnoliopsida; Poales; Poaceae.